GAACAAGACUACCAUGAAAGGAAUUUCACAUGGAAAGAAUGCUUUCACAAGUCCCUUCAGCCCUAAGAGCAAACCAAAACUCUGGAGUCAAAGAAGGGGAUACUGGGAAAUCCUACAGGCUUCCACUUCUAGCAUCAUGAUCUCCUUGGCAGUGUUGGAAGAGGCGGGGCUGAGGCACCUACACUGGUAAGAACUUGGAAGUGAAUAUUAAACUACUAUAACCACAUUUUGGUGCUGAUACUGCAUUUUCCUGCUUUAUGGUCUAUGCUGAGCUGUUUGAUUGAACAACAGUCUGCUGUUUAA
Non-coding RNA from Phascolarctos cinereus (koala), 303 nucleotides. The record is from RefSeq and is a predicted model, not a curated record. NCBI's taxonomy places the organism in Eukaryota, Metazoa, Chordata, Mammalia, Diprotodontia, Phascolarctidae.